GUGGCUUGUCGCGUUGUUCGUGAAAUCUCACGGCUUAACUGUGAGCGUGCGGGCGAUACGGGCAGACUUGAGUACUGCAGGGGAGACUGGAAUUCCUGGUGUAGCGGUGGAAUGCGCAGAUAUCAGGAGGAACACCGGUGGCGAAGGCGGGUCUCUGGGCAGUAACUGACGCUGAGGAGCGAAAGCGUGGGGAGCGAACAGGAUUAGAUACCCUGGUAGUCCACGCCGUAAACGGUGGGUACUAGGUGUGGGUUUCCUUCCUUGGGAUCCGUGCCGUAGCUAACGCAUUAAGUACCCCGCCUGGGGAGUACGGCCGCAAGGCUAAAACUCAAAGAAAUUGACGGGGGCCCGCACAAGCGGCGGAGCAUGUGGAUUAAUUCGAUGCAACGCGAAGAACCUUACCUGGGUUUGACAUGCACAGGACGCCGGCAGAGAUGUCGGUUCCCUUGUGGCCUGUGUGCAGGUGGUGCAUGGCUGUCGUCAGCUCGUGUCGUGAGAUGUUGGGUUAAGUCCCGCAACGAGCGCAACCCUUGUCUCAUGUUGCCAGCGGGUAAUGCCGGGGACUCGUGAGAGACUGCCGGGGUCAACUCGGAGGAAGGUGGGGAUGACGUCAAGUCAUCAUGCCCCUUAUGUCCAGGGCUUCACACAUGCUACAAUGGCCGGUACAAAGGGCUGCGAUGCCGCGAGGUUAAGCGAAUCCUUUUAAAGCCGGUCUCAGUUCGGAUCGGGGUCUGCAACUCGACCCCGUGAAGUCGGAGUCGCUAGUAAUCGCAGAUCAGCAACGC
Molecule: ribosomal RNA, 785 nt
Filed under: uncultured Mycobacterium sp.
Lineage: Bacteria; Bacillati; Actinomycetota; Actinomycetes; Mycobacteriales; Mycobacteriaceae
Description: bacterial SSU rRNA
Rfam family: Bacterial small subunit ribosomal RNA
Source: RNAcentral